Long non-coding RNA from Bombyx mori (domestic silkworm), 726 nucleotides. RefSeq lists it as uncharacterized. The transcript has 2 exons. The record is from RefSeq and is a predicted model, not a curated record. Lineage: Eukaryota; Metazoa; Arthropoda; Insecta; Lepidoptera; Bombycidae.
GUAUUACGGAAGUCGUCCUUAUAAUUUACCAAUUUGAAAGCAUUCCAAAAGUAAAAACAAAAUAUAUUGUAUCAUUAUAAACCCACACUUUGAGAAAAUACAUUCUGCUGACUUCUAUCAUUGUCUAGUAAUAUCAUGAAAGAGGAGCGGACAAUAGUUGUAAAUUAUGAUUGUUUUUAGUUUUUUGAAUGAAAUGAAUUUUUUGUUGAAAUUACUUGAAACUAAGCGAAGCUUGAAGAGCAAAUCGAUGUGGAAGGUCAAUAUUACAGCUGGCAGAAGUAGCAGACAAGUUAAAGACCGCAUGGCAACUACCGUUUCCUCUUGACUGGUUGAGCUCGCCAGUCGCCGGUGAGACGCGGCACGGCGCGCGCCGACACUGUCGCGUCCGUGACGUCAGCUAACUUGCAACGCGAAAAAUCAAUGUAUUCGCCUCACAUAAUAUAGUUUACCGCAUACCGCAUUUUCUAAGGGAAAAUGUGUCAUAUGUUAGUGAAGUGUUGACUUUUUAAAUAAUAAAACAAAAUCAUUGAUUAAAAUGUAAUGAUAAUAAUGACAUUAAACGCAGCGCGGCACGUGAACGUGAUUGUAAUUAUGUAAAUGACUGGCGAAAACCGAAGAAAAUACUUUACAUUCGUAUUCAGAACUUAAAAACUGACACCAAGAUUAUACAUAUACUUUAGUUAAAAUUAAUUUGAAUAGAUGUGAAAACUUUAAAUAGCCCACAAA